This 73-nucleotide transfer RNA is filed under the name Rhizoctonia solani. RNAcentral's name for it is "tRNA-Gln". It matches the Rfam family "tRNA". Rfam says of the family: Transfer RNA (tRNA) molecules are approximately 80 nucleotides in length. The record is from RNAcentral. Lineage: Eukaryota; Fungi; Basidiomycota; Agaricomycetes; Cantharellales; Ceratobasidiaceae.
GGCUGUAUAGUGUAGUGGUUCAGCACAUGGGAUUUUGAUUCCCAGGACCCCGGUUCGAACCCGGGUACGGCCU